AACGCAAAAUUCACAGCCAUUAGCAACGUUAAAGCAUUCCUUUGAGGUUGAACCCGAAUUAAUUUGGGCGUUCUUGACCCAUGACCAUUGGGAUAUUGUUGUAAUAAAAUUAAAAGAGGUUUUUUUUUUCCUUUUUUCUUUUUAUUUUUUUUUUGGUGGACUGGAGAAUAAUUUAUUUGCCAUUGAUCUUGGGUGCAGCAUCUCAUCUGUUGAAUAAAUUUUUUUAUUUAUUUCUAAGGGUUUACCUUCGUGUGCCCGUAUGGGGGAUGGUGCAAUGAUCAGCGGUACAUUU
Molecule: small nucleolar RNA, 292 nt
Filed under: Candida albicans
Lineage: Eukaryota; Fungi; Ascomycota; Pichiomycetes; Serinales; Debaryomycetaceae
Also listed under: 1 other name
Source: RNAcentral